RNAcentral lists this small nuclear RNA (107 nucleotides) under Myotis brandtii (Brandt's bat). The record is from RNAcentral. Lineage: Eukaryota; Metazoa; Chordata; Mammalia; Chiroptera; Vespertilionidae.
GUGCUCGCUUCGGCAGCACAUAUACUAAAAUUAGAACGAUACAAAGAAGAUUAGCAUGGCCCCUGCACAAGGAUGACAUGCAAAUUCAUGAAGCGUUCCAUAUUUUU